AUGGCUCUCUUAGUUACGUUGCGCCCCGGUCUGAGUCCCCACGUCCGCUCUUCUCCGCCCGCAACCCAAUAAGUUUGCUUUGCAAACACAACAUUAGGGCCGUCCCCUUCAUUCUAUGCCGACCCCGGCCCGGGGCUGGCUUUUUAGGAAGCCCGUUCCCACCGCGCUCACGGCCCGGCUGGCCUUCCAGCAGUAGUGGUAAUUUUCCCGUUCCCUGGUCAAAGACUUGGUUGGAUGCGGGAUCUACUCCGCGAGGAGUGGUACGGACGUAAAUGAUAUCAUCACGACCUCUCUUUUCGUACCGCUAGGGAUUCUUAACGCCACUUCGCCAACUGGCAUUACCUGCGCUUUCGUCUCUCUCAGUGUGGUUAAGGAGUCAACUGAGCAUCUCAGCGGCGGGAUUGAAUACCCGGAUCGAGUCAGAGUUCACUCCGCCCGCCCCGAACAAAUAGGAGGCGUGGGCCACAGGUCGCACAUAAGCCGCCGGGUCGCACGACAGAAGAACACCCAACAUACAGAUGCACACUCCAAAAUGUGAAAUAUUCAUCUUCAUUGGAGCUUUUUGGUGGUAGUCGUGACCAACAGCCAUCAGCUGUCGGCUCGUUGGUAAGGCGAGAGCUUCAAGCCCGAUUUCAGGUUCAGGUGGCACACCCCCCACACAAGCACCACCCGACGAAGGGGGGACGGGGAAAGCUACAGGCCCAAAACCUUCGACCCUUCUUUCUAAAUGGGGGUGCCCGGGGCACCCCAUCCUGUCAUUUUGUUGUUGCUCAUUCCCGUUAGGGUUAGGCCGAAGUCUUUGGUGUAUCCUUAUCCGCGCCCGCUCACGCUUUGCUGACCUAUCGCGUGGUAAAGAGAAGAGAGUACGAAAGAAUAGUAAACAGAGCACACCGCAGAAAGAUUCGAAAUAUGAGAAGUCCCCCUUGGAUUCGAUAAGAAGGAAAUGA
This is a non-coding RNA of Vicia faba (fava bean), 947 nucleotides long. The record is from the annotation of a GenBank genome assembly. NCBI's taxonomy places the organism in Eukaryota, Viridiplantae, Streptophyta, Magnoliopsida, Fabales, Fabaceae.